AUCCUUGUAGCGAAAUGGAUAGCGUAUUGGAUUUCUAAUCCAAAAGUCCUGGGAUCGAAUUCCACCUAGGAUG
Non-coding RNA from Trichonephila clavipes, 73 nucleotides. Lineage: Eukaryota; Metazoa; Arthropoda; Arachnida; Araneae; Nephilidae. The record is from the annotation of a GenBank genome assembly.